RNAcentral lists this transfer RNA (69 nucleotides) under Bos taurus (domestic cattle). It matches the Rfam family "tRNA". Rfam says of the family: Transfer RNA (tRNA) molecules are approximately 80 nucleotides in length. Their secondary structure includes four short double-helical elements and three loops (D, anti-codon, and T loops). RNAcentral also lists the same sequence under 5 other names. Lineage: Eukaryota; Metazoa; Chordata; Mammalia; Artiodactyla; Bovidae. The record is from Rfam by way of RNAcentral.
CCUGGCAGCUAAGAGGUUAAAGCAUCUGCCUCCAAUGCGGGAAAUCCUGGUUCAAUCCCUGGGUCGGGA